RNAcentral lists this ribosomal RNA (462 nucleotides) under Triticum aestivum (bread wheat). RNAcentral's name for it is "partial small subunit ribosomal RNA". The record is from RNAcentral. Lineage: Eukaryota; Viridiplantae; Streptophyta; Magnoliopsida; Poales; Poaceae.
AUGGCAGCAAGUGCGAUGACCGGAAUGAUGAACUCUCUCCUUAGCAAGCUCACAACGCUGCUUGGUGAGGAGUACAAGAAGCUCACGGGAGUGAGGAAGCAGGUCUCCUUCCUCAAGGAUGAGCUCUGCACCAUGAAAGCUCUCCUUGACAAAAUGGAGCUAAUGGAUGAGCUCGAUCCCUCAGCCAAGAACUGGAGGGACCAUGUCAGGGAGAUGUCCUAUGAUAUGGAGAAUUGCAUCAAUGACUUCAUUCAUCACAUUGAGGGUGCCCAUGUAAAGAAAGAUUUUGUCACAAAGAUGUCUCAACUUCUCAAGAGGUUGGGGAGGCGUCAUCAGAUUGUCAACCGGAUCGAGGAGCGCAAGGUUCUUGUGGUGGAGGCAAAUGCUCGGCGCGAGCGUUACAAGAUUGACAUUGCAUCAACUCGAGUCAUGGCAAUGUGGUUGCGGAUCCCCAUGUGUUAG